GACGAACCGUGCGAACGUUAUUCGGAAUCACUGGGCUUAAAGGUGCGUAGGCGGGCACGCGAGUCAGGGGUGAAAUCCCACGGCCCAACCGUGGAAGUGCCUCUGAUACCGCGAGCCUCGAGGGGGAUAGGGGCGUGCGGAACUUCCGGUGGAGCGGUGAAAUGCGUAGAUAUCGGAAGGAACACCGGUGGCGAAAGCGGCGCGCUGG
Molecule: ribosomal RNA, 208 nt
Filed under: uncultured bacterium
Lineage: Bacteria
Description: partial 16S ribosomal RNA
Rfam family: Bacterial small subunit ribosomal RNA
Source: RNAcentral